AGAACGAACGCUGGCGGCAUGCCUAAUACAUGCAAGUCGAACGAACUCUUCGGAGUUAGUGGCGCACGGGUGCGUAACGCGUGGGGAUCUGCCCUUGGGUUCGGAAUAACAGUUGGAAACGACUGCUAAUACCGGAUGAUGACGAAAGUCCAAAGAUUUAUCGCCCAGGGAUGAGCCCGCGUAGGAUUAGCUAGUUGGUGAGGUAAAGGCUCACCAAGGCGACGAUCCUUAGCUGGUCUGAGAGGAUGAUCAGCCACACGUGGGACUGAGACACGGCCCAGACCUCCGUACGGGG
Molecule: ribosomal RNA, 295 nt
Filed under: uncultured soil bacterium
Lineage: Bacteria
Description: partial 16S ribosomal RNA
Rfam family: Bacterial small subunit ribosomal RNA
Source: RNAcentral